Molecule: ribosomal RNA, 366 nt
Filed under: uncultured eukaryote
Lineage: Eukaryota
Description: partial 18S ribosomal RNA
Rfam family: Eukaryotic small subunit ribosomal RNA
Source: RNAcentral
CAAUAGCAUAUAUUAAAGUUGUUGCAGUUAAAAAGCUCGUAGUUGAAUUUCUGGCGGGCGCGCCGGUCUUCCAAGUGUUGUACUGGGCGCAGUCCGCCAUCCUUGUGGAGAGGGCUCGCAUUGAGUUGCGUGUCGGAUCUGCAUCAUUUACUGUGAAAAAAUUAGAGUGUUUAAAGCAGGCUGUCGCUUGAAUACAUUAGCAUGGAAUAAUAAGAUAGGACUUCGGUCUAUUUUGUUGGUUGCGAACCGAGGUAAUGAUUAAUAGGGAUAGUUGGGGGUAUUCAUAUUUAAUUGUCAGAGGUGAAAUUCUUGGAUUUAUGAAAGAUGAACAACUGCGAAAGCAUUUACCAAGGAUGUUUUCAUUAA